AGGGUUCGAUUCUGGCUCAGGAUGAACGCUAGCGGCAGGCCUAAUACAUGCAAGUCGAACGGAAGGGGCCCUUCGGGGCUUCUGAGAGUGGCGCACGGGUGCGCAACGCGUAUGCAACCAACCCCCGACGGGCGGAUAGCCGGUGGAAACGCCGGAUAAUACGCCAUGGUUCCGGUGGAGGGCAUCCUCUAGCCGGAUAAAGCCGAGAGGCGGUCGGGACGGGCAUGCGUCCCAUUAGGUAGUCGGCGGGGUGACGGCCCACCGAGCCCACGAUGGGUAGGGGAUCUGAGAGGACGGUCCCCCACACUGGUACUGAGACACGGACCAGACUCCUGCGGGAGGCAGCAGUAAGGGAUAUUGGUCAAUGGAGGGAACUCUGAACCAGCCCAUGCCGCGUGAGGGAAUGAGGCCCUACGGGUCGUGAACCUCUUUUAUUCGGGGACAAGGGCGCGGUCGCGAACCGUGUUUGAGGGUACCGAAGGAAUAAGCGUCGGCUAACUCCGUGCCAGCCGCCGC
This 516-nucleotide ribosomal RNA is filed under the name uncultured bacterium. Its description in RNAcentral is "bacterial SSU rRNA". It matches the Rfam family "Bacterial small subunit ribosomal RNA", at positions 8 to 518 of the family's 1533-position model. The record is from RNAcentral.